Molecule: ribosomal RNA, 466 nt
Filed under: uncultured bacterium
Lineage: Bacteria
Description: partial 16S ribosomal RNA
Rfam family: Bacterial small subunit ribosomal RNA
Source: RNAcentral
GACGAACGCUGGCGGCGUGCUUAACACAUGCAAGUCGAACGGAAAGGCCCUGCUUUUGUGGGGUGCUCGAGUGGCGAACGGGUGAGUAACACGUGAGUAACCUGCCCUUGACUUUGGGAUAACUUCAGGAAACUGGGGCUAAUACCGGAUAGGAGCUCCUGCUGCAUGGUGGGGGUUGGAAAGUUUCGGCGGUUGGGGAUGGACUCGCGGCUUAUCAGCUUGUUGGUGGGGUAGUGGCUUACCAAGGCUUUGACGGGUAGCCGGCCUGAGAGGGUGACCGGCCACAUUGGGACUGAGAUACGGCCCAGACUCCUACGGGAGGCAGCAGUGGGGAAUAUUGCACAAUGGGCGGAAGCCUGAUGCAGCAACGCCGCGUGGGGGAUGACGGCCUUCGGGUUGUAAACCGAUUUCGCCUGUGACGAAGCGUGAGUGACGGUAAUGGGUAAAGAAGCACCGGCUAACUACG